RNAcentral lists this small nuclear RNA (104 nucleotides) under Neogale vison (American mink). The record is from RNAcentral. Lineage: Eukaryota; Metazoa; Chordata; Mammalia; Carnivora; Mustelidae.
GUGCUCACUUUGGCAGCACAUAUACUAAAAUUGGGACAAUACAGAGAUUAGGGUGGCCCCUGUGCAAGGGUGACAGGCAAAUUUGUGAAUUUUUUUAAAGACUU